GAUGAACGCUGGCGGCGUGCCUAAUACAUGCAAGUCGAGCGAACGGACGAGAAGCUUGCUUCUCUGAUGUUAGCGGCGGACGGGUGAGUAACACGUGGAUAACCUACCUAUAAGACUGGGAUAACUUCGGGAAACCGGAGCUAAUACCGGAUAAUAUUUUGAACCGCAUGGUUCAAAAGUGAAAGACGGUCUUGCUGUCACUUAUAGAUGGAUCCGCGCUGCAUUAGCUAGUUGGUAAGGUAACGGCUUACCAAGGCAACGAUGCAUAGCCGACCUGAGAGGGUGAUCGGCCACACUGGAACUGAGACACGGUCCAGACUCCUACGGGAGGCAGCAGUAGGGAAUCUUCCGCAAUGGGCGAAAGCCUGACGGAGCAACGCCGCGUGAGUGAUGAAGGUCUUCGGAUCGUAAAACUCUGUUAUUAGGGAAGAACAUAUGUGUAAGUAACUGUGCACAUCUUGACGGUACCUAAUCAGAAAGCCACGGCUAACUACGUGCCAGCAGCCGCGGUAAUACGUAGGUGGCAAGCGUUAUCCGGAAUUAUUGGGCGUAAAGCGCGCGUAGGCGGUUUUUUAAGUCUGAUGUGAAAGCCCACGGCUCAACCGUGGAGGGUCAUUGGAAACUGGAAAACUUGAGUGCAGAAGAGGAAAGUGGAAUUCCAUGUGUAGCGGUGAAAUGCGCAGAGAUAUGGAGGAACACCAGUGGCGAAGGCGACUUUCUGGUCUGUAACUGACGCUGAUGUGCGAAAGCGUGGGGAUCAAACAGGAUUAGAUACCCUGGUAGUCCACGCCGUAAACGAUGAGUGCUAAGUGUUAGGGGGUUUCCGCCCCUUAGUGCUGCAGCUAACGCAUUAAGCACUCCGCCUGGGGAGUACGACCACAAGGUUGAAACUCAAAGGAAUUGACGGGGACCCGCACAAGCGGUGGAGCAUGUGGUUUAAUUCGAAGCAACGCGAAGAACCUUACCAAAUCUUGACAUCCUUUGACAACUCUAGAGAUAGAGCUUUCCCCUUCGGGGGACAAAGUGACAGGUGGUGCAUGGUUGUCGUCAGCUCGUGUCGUGAGAUGUUGGGUUAAGUCCCGCAACGAGCGCAACCCUUAAGCUUAGUUGCCAUCAUUAAGUUGGGCACUCUAAGUUGACUGCCGGUGACAAACCGGAGGAAGGUGGGGAUGACGUCAAAUCAUCAUGCCCCUUAUGAUUUGGGCUACACACGUGCUACAAUGGACAAUACAAAGGGCAGCGAAACCGCGAGGUCAAGCAAAUCCCAUAAAGUUGUUCUCAGUUCGGAUUGUAGUCUGCAACUCGACUACAUGAAGCUGGAAUCGCUAGUAAUCGUAGAUCAGCAUGCUACGGUGAAUACGUUCCCGGGUCU
RNAcentral lists this ribosomal RNA (1372 nucleotides) under uncultured bacterium. Its description in RNAcentral is "bacterial SSU rRNA". It matches the Rfam family "Bacterial small subunit ribosomal RNA", at positions 28 to 1381 of the family's 1533-position model. The record is from RNAcentral.